Long non-coding RNA from Grus americana (Whooping crane), 1252 nucleotides. RefSeq lists it as uncharacterized. NCBI's taxonomy places the organism in Eukaryota, Metazoa, Chordata, Aves, Gruiformes, Gruidae. The transcript has 4 exons. The record is from RefSeq and is a predicted model, not a curated record.
CGCCCACCCGGACACGGCGGCCCCUUGCCGGGGGUGAAAAAUAGUCCGCCGGGUCCUAAUGGCGCGGCGACACGUCGCCCGUCCUCGCGGGGCUUUCCAAAGAGUGGCGGCAACGCUCCGCCCUGAUUUGGCUUGGGAAGGGCAGAGGGAUGGCUGGAAAUCGGGAUCACCUCGCGAGAGCAGGUGAUAUCCAUCCGCUGGCGCGUGACCCCGCCCUCCAGAGAAAACCAGCUUCAGCUAGAAGGGCAGCGAAUAUCUCUACUUGCCAUCAUCCCAGGGCUCUGAGGAUCAGAAUGCUUUUCAGAAAGGCAAGAGUUGUGAGUAGGAGUUCCCUGAGAGAGAAAAGGAGAUUAACUUGCCUCUCAUAUGCUAGAAGAUGGCAUGGAUUUUGAGGUUCAACUUAACACUUGCUUCCUGCACUUGACCCUUUGUGGCAUCAAGCUGUCUCAGAUACAGGAGAGUUUCUGACAUGACUCAUCCUGGAAUCACAGCUCCCAAGAAUAUUCAUCAGGGGAGCAGGACUGGAAGAGCCCAGUUAUGGAGCUUUCUCUGGCGUGAGCCCCUGCACUGUAUUAAGUGGCCCACAGAAGUUGACUGCUAGGGAAGCUGAGAAACAGACUGUUUCCUUCAUAAACAGGUUGACCUUCACCUGGCUGAAGAGUUUUACCUCAGAAUUUGUUCCGAGGUCUCCAGUUGUGUAAACUGUUGUUGAUGUUAUGUGUUAUCCUGGCCAGGAUGCUUGUGUUCACCACUGCUUCUUUUCAUGUAUUUCAGCUUGCGUUGUCUUUAUGUGCAAUGAAAAUAAUCCCUUCUUCUGAUUGCAAGGGUUUAGGUCAAUAAUUUCUCCAAAUUCUGCCGAUAACUCUUUCUUCUUUGAGGGAGAAUGUCAAUGUAACAACCCACAGCAACAGUGUCAGCAGCCUGGAGAGCAGAAUGGGACCUCAGCACCUAGGCUUUGCUCUGACGCUUUCUCAGGAUGCACACAGUAUCCACGUUUCUUUGCCUUGAAAAAUAUCUCAGAUUAGCGUCCGAGAGUGUUAUUACCUGUACGCUUCUUUAGAGAGAUAAAGUAUGUCAAUAUAUUGCAUUUGAGUUGAUUCUUACUCAAGAAGUAUGUGAGGGGUAUGUGUACAAGUGUAUUUCCAAAGAAAUUUUUAAUUACUAUUGUCCUCUUCAGACCCUAAUUCCUUAGUCCAUGCAGUAAGUGGCACUCCCCACUAUCAGCCAACUGUAAUAAAUUUGUUCACGCAUA